UAGACGCCGCGGCAGGCCUAACACAUGCAACUCGAGCGGUGAAGGGAGCUUGCUCCUGGUUCAGCGGCGGACGGGUGAGUAAUGCCUAGGAAUCUGCCUGGUAGUGGGGGAUAACGUCCGGAAACGGGCGCUAAUACCGCAUACGUCCUGAGGGAGAAAGUGGGGGAUCUUCGGACCUCACGCUAUCAGAUGAGCCUAGGUCGGAUUAGCUAGUUGGUGGGGUAAAGGCCUACCAAGGCGACGAUCCGUAACUGGUCUGAGAGGAUGAUCAGUCACACUGGAACUGAGACACGGUCCAGACUCCUACGGGAGGCAGCAGUGGGGAAUAUUGGACAAUGGGCGAAAGCCUGAUCCAGCCAUGCCGCGUGUGUGAAGAAGGUCUUCGGAUUGUAAAGCACUUUAAGUUGGGAGGAAGGGCAAGUAAGUUAAUACCUUGCUGUUUUGACGUUACCAACAGAAUAAGCACCGGCUAACUUCGUGCCAGCAGCCGCGGUAAUACGAAGGGUGCAAGCGUUAAUCGGAAUUACUGGGCGUAAAGCGCGCGUAGGUGGUUCAGCAAGUUGGAUGUGAAAUCCCCGGGCUCAACCUGGGAACUGCAUCCAAAACUACUGAGCUAGAGUACGGUAGAGGGUGGUGGAAUUUCCUGUGUAGCGGUGAAAUGCGUAGAUAUAGGAAGGAACACCAGUGGCGAAGGCGACCACCUGGACUGA
This 710-nucleotide ribosomal RNA is filed under the name Pseudomonas aeruginosa. RNAcentral's name for it is "bacterial SSU rRNA". It matches the Rfam family "Bacterial small subunit ribosomal RNA", at positions 30 to 737 of the family's 1533-position model. Lineage: Bacteria; Pseudomonadati; Pseudomonadota; Gammaproteobacteria; Pseudomonadales; Pseudomonadaceae. The record is from RNAcentral.